CCUACGGGAGGCAGCAGUGGGGAAUAUUGGACAAUGGGCGGAAGCCUGAUCCAGCCAUGCCGCGUGUGUGAAGAAGGCCUUAUGGUUGUAAAGCACUUUAAGCGAGGAGGAGGCUACUUUAGUUAAUACCUAGAGAUAGUGGACGUUACUCGCAGAAUAAGCACC
This 165-nucleotide ribosomal RNA is filed under the name uncultured Acinetobacter NB1. RNAcentral's name for it is "partial 16S ribosomal RNA". It matches the Rfam family "Bacterial small subunit ribosomal RNA", at positions 338 to 494 of the family's 1533-position model. The record is from RNAcentral. Lineage: Bacteria; Pseudomonadati; Pseudomonadota; Gammaproteobacteria; Moraxellales; Moraxellaceae.